RNAcentral lists this long non-coding RNA (431 nucleotides) under Scleropages formosus (Asian bonytongue). RNAcentral describes it as "lncRNA (ENSSFOG00015031261.1)". The record is from RNAcentral. Lineage: Eukaryota; Metazoa; Chordata; Actinopteri; Osteoglossiformes; Osteoglossidae.
CUGAAAUGGCUAUGAAAACAACCGUCUGCUUCUGGGCUGUUCUACGGCUGCUCUCAGGAGAGAGCAGUGCAACUUCACAGUGCAGCAAGACUGGAGAAAAUGUGUACCUGCAUCUACAGAAUGAAAACCCAGAUUUUACUGAUUUAAGAUGGGUAUAUCAUGACGAAGUAAUAGGCAAAAUUUUAAAAAAUUUCAGCAGCAGCAUUUUACAAAAUUUUAAGUCAUCGACUGAACUUUUGCAAAACGGGACCCUUAAAAUCACCAACAUCCAGACAAACUGGAGUGGAGAAUUCACUGCAACUGGUUUCAGUGAAAGAGGAGUAAAUAAUGUGAAAGAGACGCAUCACCUGAUUGUAGUCGAUGCUCCAGUGGUUGAAUCUUUUCUAUGUGUCGAUGGAAAAAUGAUGUUUUACUGUGCAGAUGAAAAUGGC